GAUGAAGAACGCAGCGAAAUGCGAUACUUGGUGUGAAUUGCAGAAUCCCGUGAACCAUCGAGUCUUUGAACGCAAGUUGCGCCCGAAGCCAUUAGGCCGAGGGCACGCCUGCCUGGGCGUCACACGUCGUUGCCCCCCCAUCUACUCCUUCGGGAUUGCGGGGGGAGGAUGAUGGCCUCCCGUGCGCCUCGUCGCGCGGUUGGCAUAAAUGCCAAGUCCUCGGCGACACACGCCACGACAAUCGGUGGUUGCGAAACCUCGGUUGCCCGUCGUGUGCGGUCGUCGCGCAUCGAGGGCUCGAAAAAAUUGCCGGGCUCCGGCUCGGCUUUCAACGCGACCCCAGGUCAGGCGGGGUUACCCGCUGAAUUUAAGCAUAUCAAUAAGCGGAGGA
Molecule: unclassified non-coding RNA, 391 nt
Filed under: soil metagenome
Description: partial contains 5.8S ribosomal RNA, internal transcribed spacer 2, and large subunit ribosomal RNA
Rfam family: 5.8S ribosomal RNA (bases 1-122)
Source: RNAcentral